AGGCGGUUAGCUCAGAUGGUUAGAGCGUUGCCUUGACAUGGCAAAGGUCGUAGGUUCGAUCCCUAUACCGCCUACCA
This 77-nucleotide transfer RNA is filed under the name Candidatus Symbiobacter mobilis CR. Its description in RNAcentral is "tRNA-Val (GAC) (tRNA-Val-GAC-1-1)". It matches the Rfam family "tRNA". From Rfam's summary of the family: Transfer RNA (tRNA) molecules are approximately 80 nucleotides in length. Their secondary structure includes four short double-helical elements and three loops (D, anti-codon, and T loops). Further hydrogen bonds mediate the characteristic L-shaped molecular structure. tRNAs have two regions of fundamental functional importance: the anti-codon, which is responsible for specific mRNA codon recognition, and the 3' end, to which the tRNAs corresponding amino acid is attached (by aminoacyl-tRNA synthetases). tRNAs cope with the degeneracy of the genetic code in two manners: having more than one tRNA (with a specific anti-codon) for a particular amino acid; and 'wobble' base-pairing, i.e. permitting non-standard base-pairing at the 3rd anti-codon position. The record is from RNAcentral. Lineage: Bacteria; Pseudomonadati; Pseudomonadota; Betaproteobacteria; Burkholderiales; Comamonadaceae.